UUUUAACUUUUUUUCUCUUUUUUUUCAGUUUACAUUUUGGUACAAUUUUCAAUAAUAAUUUUUUGACAUUUUGUGAUCUGUGUUCUCUCCUUCCAACCAACCUCUACCUUCCCCCAAAAUGGAAGAGUCUGCUCUCCUGGAAAGAUCUUGAAGAGGAUUGUGCCUGUGAUCUAUGGAGGAAGGAGUUUUUCUGGAUCUGGCUGCUGGCAGCAUCAAUCUGGACUCACUUGGACCUCUAACAACAGAAGAUCCUGGCUCUAUUUGAUUUGGACUCCUGGUGUGAGAUUGGAAUAUUUGGGAAGGUAAAGUUUUAGUUUAAUAACAUAGUUCAGUUAGUUAUUAUCUUUUAAAUUAAAUAUAAGAAUAAGUAUGUUCCUAAACCCUUAUUCCUUUCCUACCCUUCCAAAAAAAUAAAGCAGAAUUCAUUUAUAUGUUUUCUUCUUGU
Molecule: long non-coding RNA, 445 nt
Filed under: Monodelphis domestica (gray short-tailed opossum)
Lineage: Eukaryota; Metazoa; Chordata; Mammalia; Didelphimorphia; Didelphidae
Description: lncRNA (ENSMODG00000030646.2)
Source: RNAcentral